Molecule: small nucleolar RNA, 201 nt
Filed under: Dasypus novemcinctus (nine-banded armadillo)
Lineage: Eukaryota; Metazoa; Chordata; Mammalia; Cingulata; Dasypodidae
Description: Small nucleolar RNA SNORA73 family (ENSDNOG00000029120.2)
Rfam family: Small nucleolar RNA SNORA73 family
About the family: U17 (SNORA73A and SNORA73B) also known as E1 belongs to the H/ACA class of small nucleolar RNAs (snoRNAs). Vertebrate U17 is intron-encoded and ranges in length from 200-230 nucleotides, longer than most snoRNAs.
Source: RNAcentral
CCAAAAUGGAUACCAGGAGGUCACGCUCCCUGGCCUCUGUCCAGGUGCGCCGGGGAGCACCCGGCUCAGCGCAGUGAGGACAGUCCCACUCCACAACCGGGCAGACGAAGCCGGGCUCUCGAGCCUGCACCUGUAUGUUCCUACAGCUUCUCAGAGUCCUAUGGGCAGUGACCGAGGAGACAAACCAUGUAGGAAAGAGUU